GAAAUGCGAUAAUUAAUGUGAAUUGCAGAAUUCAGUGAAUCAUCGAGUCUUUGAACGCACAUUGCGCCCCCCUGGUAUUCCGGGGGGCAUGCCUGUCCGAGCGUCAUUGCUGCCCUCAAGCACGGCUUGUGUGUUGGGCUUCCGUCCCUGGCAACGGGGACGGGCCCAAAAGGCAGUGGCGGCACCAUGUCUGGUCCUCGAGCGUAUGGGGCUUUGUCACCCGCUCCCGUAGGUCCAGCUGGCAGCUAGCCUCGCAACCAAUCUUUUUAACCAGGUUGACCUCGGAUCAGGUAGGGAUACCCGCUGAACUUAAGC
Molecule: unclassified non-coding RNA, 315 nt
Filed under: plant metagenome
Description: partial contains 5.8S ribosomal RNA, internal transcribed spacer 2, and large subunit ribosomal RNA
Rfam family: 5.8S ribosomal RNA (bases 1-106)
Source: RNAcentral